CGGACGGGUGAGUAAUGUCUGGGAAACUGCCUGAUGGAGGGGGAUAACUACUGGAAACUGUAGCUAAUACCGCAUAACGUCGCAAGACCAAAGAGGGGGACCUUCGGGCCUCUUGCCAUCAGAUGUGCCCAGAUGGGAUUAGCUAGUAGGUGGGGUAACGGCUCACCUAGGUGACGAUCCCUAGCUGGUCUGAGAGGAUGACCAGCCACACUGGAACUGAGACACGGUCCAG
RNAcentral lists this ribosomal RNA (232 nucleotides) under uncultured Enterobacterales bacterium. Its description in RNAcentral is "partial 16S ribosomal RNA". It matches the Rfam family "Bacterial small subunit ribosomal RNA", at positions 99 to 334 of the family's 1533-position model. Lineage: Bacteria; Pseudomonadati; Pseudomonadota; Gammaproteobacteria; Enterobacterales. The record is from RNAcentral.